AGUGAACGCUGGCGGUAGGCCUAACACAUGCAAGUCGAACGGCAGCACAGUAAGAGCUUGCUCUUACGGGUGGCGAGUGGCGGACGGGUGAGGAAUACAUCGGAAUCUACUUUUUCGUGGGGGAUAACGUAGGGAAACUUACGCUAAUACCGCAUACUACCUACGGGUGAAAGCAGGAGAUCUUCGGACCUUUCGCGAUUGAAUGAGCCGAUGUCGGAUUAGCUAGUUGGCGAGGUAAAGGCCCACCAAGGCGACGAUCCGUAGCUGGUCUGAGAGGAUGAUCAGCCACACUGGAACUGAGACACGGUCCAGACUCCUACGGGAGGCAGCAGUGGGGAAUAUUGGACAAUGGGCGCAAGCCUGAUCCAGCCAUACCGCGUGGGUGAAGAAGGCCUUCGGAUUGUAAAGCCCUUUUGUUGGGAAAGAAAAGCAGCAGGUUAAUACCCCGCUGUUCUGACGGUACCCAAAGAAUAAGCACCGGCUAACUUCGUG
Molecule: ribosomal RNA, 492 nt
Filed under: uncultured bacterium
Lineage: Bacteria
Description: partial 16S ribosomal RNA
Rfam family: Bacterial small subunit ribosomal RNA
Source: RNAcentral